UACGUAGGUGGCAAGCGUUGUCCGGAAUUAUUGGGCGUAAAGCGCGCGCAGGCGGUCCUUUAAGUCUGAUGUGAAAGCCCACGGCUCAACCGUGGAGGGUCAUUGGAAACUGGGGGACUUGAGUGCAGGAGAGAAGAGUGGAAUUCCACGUGUAGCGGUGAAAUGCGUAGAUAUCCGGAGGAACACCAGUGGCGAAGGCGACUUUCUGGCCUGUUCUUGACGCUGAGGCGCGAAAGCUAGGGGAGCAAACGGG
Molecule: ribosomal RNA, 253 nt
Filed under: uncultured bacterium
Lineage: Bacteria
Description: partial 16S ribosomal RNA
Rfam family: Bacterial small subunit ribosomal RNA
Source: RNAcentral